Molecule: ribosomal RNA, 344 nt
Filed under: Enterococcus faecalis
Lineage: Bacteria; Bacillati; Bacillota; Bacilli; Lactobacillales; Enterococcaceae
Description: bacterial SSU rRNA
Rfam family: Bacterial small subunit ribosomal RNA
Source: RNAcentral
GCACUGCCCUUAUGACCUGGGCUACACACGUGCUACAAUGGGAAGUACAACGAGUCGCUAGACCGCGAGGUCAUGCAAAUCUCUUAAAGCUUCUCUCAGUUCGGAUUGCAGGCUGCAACUCGCCUGCAUGAAGCCGGAAUCGCUAGUAAUCGCGGAUCAGCACGCCGCGGUGAAUACGUUCCCGGGCCUUGUACACACCGCCCGUCACACCACGAGAGUUUGUAACACCCGAAGUCGGUGAGGUAACCUUUUUGGAGCCAGCCGCCUAAGGUGGGAUAGAUGAUUGGGGUGAAGUCGUAACAAGGUAGCCGUAUCGGAAGGUGCGGUUGGAUCCACCUCCUAAA